Molecule: transfer RNA, 74 nt
Filed under: Sphaerodactylus townsendi
Lineage: Eukaryota; Metazoa; Chordata; Lepidosauria; Squamata; Sphaerodactylidae
Description: tRNA-Ala
Source: RNAcentral
GCAGCUUAGUGGUAGAACAUCUGUUUUGCAUGCAGAAGGUCCCAGGUUCCAAUUUUCCAAUCCUGACAUCUCCA